This 852-nucleotide ribosomal RNA is filed under the name Coremiopassalora eucalypti. RNAcentral's name for it is "LSU rRNA". It matches the Rfam family "Eukaryotic large subunit ribosomal RNA", at positions 54 to 943 of the family's 3401-position model. The record is from RNAcentral. Lineage: Eukaryota; Fungi; Ascomycota; Dothideomycetes; Mycosphaerellales; Mycosphaerellaceae.
AGGAAAAGAAACCAACAGGGAUUGCCCUAGUAACGGCGAGUGAAGCGGCAACAGCUCAAAUUUGAAAUCUGGCGCAAGCCCGAGUUGUAAUUUGUAGAGGAUGCUUCUAGGUAGCGGUCGGUCUAAGUUCCUUGGAACAGGACGUCAUAGAGGGUGAGAAUCCCGUAUGUGAUUGACUUGCACCUUCUACGUAGCUCCUUCGACGAGUCGAGUUGUUUGGGAAUGCAGCUCUAAAUGGGAGGUAAAUUUCUUCUAAAGCUAAAUACCGGCCAGAGACCGAUAGCGCACAAGUAGAGUGAUCGAAAGAUGAAAAGCACUUUGGAAAGAGAGUUAAAAAGCACGUGAAAUUGUUGAAAGGGAAGCGCCUACAACCAGACUUUGCGGCAGUGUUCCGCCGGCUUCUGACCGGCUACUCUCUGUCGUGAGGCAUCAUCGUCUGGGCCCGCCGGAUAAGACCUAAGGAAUGUAGCUACCUUCGGGUAGUGUAUAGCCUUUGGUGAUGCGGCGAGGCUCGGCGAGGUCCGCGCUUCGGCAAGGAUGAUGGCGUAAUGGUUGUAGUCGGCCCGUCUUGAAACACGGACCAAGGAGUCUAACAUCUAUGCGAGUGUUCGGGUGUCAAACCCCUACGCGUAAUGAAAGUGAACGGAGGUGGGAACUUUUUGUGCACCAUCGACCGAUCCUGAUGUCCUCGGAUGGAUUUGAGUAAGAGCAUAGCUGUUGGGACCCGAAAGAUGGUGAACUAUGCCUGAAUAGGGUGAAGCCAGAGGAAACUCUGGUGGAGGCUCGCAGCGGUUCUGACGUGCAAAUCGAUCGUCAAAUUUGGGUAUAGGGCCGAAAGACUAAUCGAACCAU